RNAcentral lists this unclassified non-coding RNA (311 nucleotides) under uncultured fungus. Its description in RNAcentral is "partial contains small subunit ribosomal RNA, internal transcribed spacer 1, and 5.8S ribosomal RNA". The stretch from base 1 to 73 matches the Rfam family "Eukaryotic small subunit ribosomal RNA", at positions 1759 to 1831 of the family's 1831-position model. The record is from RNAcentral. Lineage: Eukaryota; Fungi.
GCAAACUUGGUCAUUUAGAGGAAGUAAAAGUCGUAACAAGGUUUCCGUAGGUGAACCUGCGGAAGGAUCAUUAACGAAUUAAUCGAGGUUGUGCUGGUUCUUACAAGUGCACACCUCUUACAAUUCCAUUCACACCCUUGUGCACUCUAAGAGACGUAUCUCCCCCGUUUACGUGCCUUCAUUGGCUUGGGAUUUCGUCUGUUUAACACACUCUUUAUUGUAAUAGAAUGUAAUUCGGCGGAAACGCCUAAACUUAUAAUAUAACUUUCAACAACGGAUCUCUUGGUUCUCGCAUCGAUGAAGAACGCAGC